Molecule: ribosomal RNA, 491 nt
Filed under: uncultured bacterium
Lineage: Bacteria
Description: partial 16S ribosomal RNA
Rfam family: Bacterial small subunit ribosomal RNA
Source: RNAcentral
GUGAACGCUGGCGGUAGGCCUAACCCAUGCAAGUCGCACGGCAGCACAGUAAGAGCUUGCUCUUACGGGUGGCGAGUGGCGGACGGGUGAGGAAUACAUCGGAAUCUACUUUUUCGUGGGGGAUAACGUAGGGAAACUUACGCUAAUACCGCAUACGACCUACGGGUGAAAGCAGGGGAUCUUCGGACCUUGCGCGAUUGAAUGAGCCGAUGUCGGAUUAGCUAGUUGGCGGGGUAAAGGCCCACCAAGGCGACGAUCCGUAGCUGGUCUGAGAGGAUGAUCAGCCACACUGGAACUGAGACACGGUCCAGACUCCUACGGGAGGCAGCAGUGGGGAAUAUUGGACAAUGGGCGCAAGCCUGAUCCAGCCAUACCGCGUGGGUGAAGAGGGCCUUCGGGUUGUAAAGCCCUUUUGUUGGGAAAGAAAAGCAGCAGGUUAAUACCCCGCUGUUCUGACGGUACCCAAAGAAUAAGCACCGGCUAACUUCGUG